GAUGAACGCUAGCGGCAGGCCUAACACAUGCAAGUCGAGGGGUAGCAGGAUUAAGCUUGCUUAAUUGCUGACGACCGGCGCACGGGUGCGUAACGCGUAUGCAACCUACCUUAUACUGGGGUAUAGCCCGGAGAAAUUCGGAUUAAUCCCCCAUAGUACUAAUGAAUCGCAUGGUUUAUUAGUUAAAGCAUUGCGGUAUAAGAUGGGCAUGCGUCCUAUUAGCUAGAUGGUGAGGUAACGGCUCACCAUGGCUACGAUAGGUAGGGGGCCUGAGAGGGUGGUCCCCCGCACUGGUACUGAGACACGGACCAGACUCCUACGGGAGGCAGCAGUGAGGAAUAUUGGUCAAUGGGCGCAAGCCUGAACCAGCCAUGCCGCGUGCAGGAAGAAUGCCCUAUGGGUUGUAAACUGCUUUUAUUUGGGAAUAAACCUCUUUACGCGUAGAGAGCUGAAGGUACCAAAUGAAUAAGCACCGGCUAACUCCGUGCCAGCAGCCGCGGUAA
This 503-nucleotide ribosomal RNA is filed under the name uncultured bacterium. RNAcentral's name for it is "partial 16S ribosomal RNA". It matches the Rfam family "Bacterial small subunit ribosomal RNA", at positions 28 to 523 of the family's 1533-position model. The record is from RNAcentral.